Long non-coding RNA from Scomber scombrus (Atlantic mackerel), 249 nucleotides. RefSeq lists it as uncharacterized. Lineage: Eukaryota; Metazoa; Chordata; Actinopteri; Scombriformes; Scombridae. The transcript is spliced from 3 exons. The record is from RefSeq and is a predicted model, not a curated record.
GCUACAGUGAUCAGCCUCCAAAGGAUGUGAAGCCGAGGCCUGGUCAUUCACACGGUCACAGUAAAGGAGUUGUGAUGAUGGAGAAAGACAAAACUGGACUCUGGCUCUUACACAGCACACCACAGUUCCCUCAAAAAGGGCAACAUUUCUACCCUGAAAGUGGAUCAAAAAAAGGCCAGACGUUCAUCUGUGUAACAUUCAACUACGACCAGUUCAAAGCUAUCGGUACACACCUGCAGUACAUCAACG